Mastomys coucha (southern multimammate mouse) is the source of this 3645-nucleotide long non-coding RNA. RefSeq lists it as uncharacterized. The transcript is spliced from 3 exons. Lineage: Eukaryota; Metazoa; Chordata; Mammalia; Rodentia; Muridae. The record is from RefSeq and is a predicted model, not a curated record.
CUCACACAAGCAAGACACAAACUGCAUGCAGCACACGAGCGUGAGGGAAGGAGGCGGCAGCAGGGGAUAGCUCACCUUAAAUGCGGUAUCUGAUUAAUGUUGGAAGUGACAUUGCAUUUCAGCCCCAGAGUCUUGGUUCAACUGGGUAGGAGGGAACAAAGAAAAAUGUCAUCAAGUGGUGAUGCAAGAUGAGCCCAAUCACUAACCACUGCUUAGCAAACUCCAAAUUCUGCAACCAGGCAGUCGAAGGCAUUCCAUGCACUUAAGCAGUGCGGCUGCACAGUGAAUGAAUCGUCUGCUUCUGCAAAUCCAACAGUCCUUGUGCUAAGGAAGGAAGUCAGCUGGAAUGAAUACUGUCAUAUCCUCUUCUUGGAGAAAGCUUGCAAUACAGUCCCUGCUGUCUGUCCCCCUGUUCCCACUUCCCUGGUGAGGAGGUCCCGUCACAGCACCUUUCAGGCUCCACAGACACCUCCCCUGGCUUGGAACUUCGUGAUGCUCUUCCUCGGGGUGUUUCUGCUGCUGUGACGUCAUUUGCCCAGAGGCUCUCGUUGGAGCUGAGCGGAUGUUUGAAAUGUGUUCUCAAACCUCCAGAACUAUACACUAAACGGAUAUCCUUUUUAAUGAUAUUUUUAUUUAUCAGGUGUUUUGUUAUAGCAAUACAGAAUAUGACAGUAUACUAGGUCAGGGUUACUCAACUUUUUUUUCCUGUGCAAUAAAUACCAGUCGAAUGAAUAUGUAUCAAACUAGACCCAUUUAUAUACGUAACACAUAUAAGCAGGUCUCAGGCUCUGAUGUGUAUAUGAAUAUCAAGGGCACAUUAAAAAUGUAUAUUUAUGAUAUCUGAAAGAUAGCAGGUGAAACCUAGACAUGGCUAGCCAAAGUCUCCACGGAGUGAUAUGGAUAAAUCUAAAAUGCCAGAGAUUGUGAUCAGAACUUCUGAUGUCCCUGGGACCCAUAAACACACAUUUUCAUCUGAGAAACUAAAGGGGACCAGAUUCUGGAAUAGACACUGAUGCCUUUCUGGAUCAGAAUUUACCAACUGGUAAGUUUAAAAAACAGAUUAUACAACUUCUGGGAAUUUUUCUUAAAUUGUCCACAAGGUGCCCAUCAACACCCACAGGAGUGUUUACAUAUUUAUAACAGCGGAGCACCAGAGGCAAUCAAAAUAGCCAUUAAAAAAAGAGCUCAAUUAAAAUAUGCCUGUGCAAAGAUAACAGUCAUUAAAAAUGAUAUUUUCAAAGAGUACUUGUCGAUUUGCAAAGAUGCUUACAAUAUAACUGUAAGAGGGGGACAAAAGCAACAAAACCAACAAAAACCCAACAAAAAACAACAGCCAAGACGAAAAUGACAAACUAUAUAGAGUGGAAAAAGGAGGAGAAGUGUAAUAAAGUUGAAAGUCUAGCCAAGCAUAGUCUAGCUGCAGAUGGAGGAUGCAGCCUAUCUCUGGGGGAACCCUAAACUACAUCUUUUGAAAGGCAACCCUGGGACAGCAGAGGAACUUAGGUCAAUGCUAAGGAACUUCGGUCAAUGAGAAAGGCCUUCUCACUGGCUAUUUCUUUCCUUCUGUGAUUCGUGAUGAUGAGAUUCUGGACAGACUGUGUGACCCAUUACCUCUGACAGACUGAAGAAACACAGCUCUGGGUCAGUGCCUCUAGGAUGGUCAGUGUUCAGUGUCAACUUGACAGGCUCGACCGCUACUUAGCACUUGGGCCUGCAAGGAACGUGUGAGAAACGGUCAUUUUGCAAUGUGUCUUGAUUAGGUUCAUUUUUGUGGGUAAGCCCGUCUUCAGUGUGGGCAGGACCAUUCCCUGAGUGGGGAUCCUAUACUGUAUGAAGUGGAGAAGACAUGCUGAGUGUGAACAUUCAUUGCUGUCUGCUUCCUGCUUGUGGAUGGGCCCUGUACGGCUACUUCAAGCUCUUGUUGCGGUGACUUUCCUACCAUAUUGGACCAUCCCAGACUGCGAGCCAAACUCAACCCCUUCUUCCCGAAGUUGUAUUCACCAGAGUAUUUUAUCAUAGCAACAAAAAAGUGACUAAGAUUGCGUCCAUGGAGUAGAUAUCAAGCCUCUGUUCCAAUGGGCUAGGGAUGUGUAGAAUCCCAGGAAUCACCUUUUGGCACACAGAGAACUCAACUGGUUUCUCUCAAAGAUUUUACUGAAGCCUUUUGGGCCUCUCGUCCAGUCAGACCUUAUCAAGGGGCUUGGAAAUAGUCGUACCUCAUUGGAUAGGAAUGUUGCUAAAGAUCACAGAGGAAAGGUGAUUUAGAGACUUUUUUCUUUUUUCUUUUUUUCAAAACAGUGCUACUUCCCAGCUGUCUCCAGAGCAAAGACACCAACACUGGCCCUAAGGGAGGCAACUGUUCUCACAGCGUGUUGACUUAGCCUCCGCGUUCCCGUGUCCAAACCAUUCUGCACGUAGAACCUCGCUCACUCUGUCUCACCAUUACAGUUUUGUUUUUUUGUUUUUGUUUUUAACAACAACACAAUUUUGGAAGAGGGAAAGAACUUCAAAAUUCUGGUAAAAGCCAGAGGCUUCUUGAGUGAAAAACAAAACCCCAAACUCUUUUGUGUGGUGUUUUCCAGAUUAUGACAGCUAGGGGAUUUCAGUGUGAGAAAUGACAAAGCCCAAUUACUAUGAAUUCUUAGCUUUCGUAAAUAUGACGCGAGCUUGUUGCAAAAUCCUCUAAAAGGGGUGACAGGGCCUUCAUAAUGCUGACCCAGGAAGAAGGGAGCUGACACUUCUGUGCUUUUCGAACUGCAAAGCCCCUGAGGUCAAAAUAACCAACUGGGCCAGCUGUUGCCCAUGUGAGACUGCUGUGUUCAACUUGUCAGCGUUCCUCAUGGACAAACAAGAUCAGACAAACAUCUUCAGGUGACCUAACUCCGCAUAGACUGUGGUGUCUCCAAUGUGGAUUACACAACUCAUGUAUAAUUAAAGUGGAAAAAUAAUAAACUAUGAGAUCAAAGUGGAACUAACUUACGAAAAGCCCCUUUUCUGCUGAGACCUAUUUUGAUGCCAUUUUUAAAAAAUGUCAAAUACUAAAAAUAUGAAUGUAUGCUUGUACACAAUCCUGUCUUGUGGGGUCACCAUACCUGCCAGCCUAACAGUGACAAUGGCCAUGAGGAUCUGUGGCUUUCUUUCAGACACUUCAUGUUUACUGUAGUGAAGUCCUGAUGACUCGGUUUGAUAGUCACACACCUCUCCUUGUCACAUAAUGUAGCUAGAAACAUCAGAAAUCAUUUCCUGUGUCAAACUGGUAUGCUGUGUGUGCAUGGAGGAGAUCAUAUCAGAUGGCAGCUGAAACUAACAAGCCAUGAUUAGUCAGUAUUAUGGUUAGAAUCUGAAAUGGUCCCCCCUGGGCUCCUGGGCUAUACCCAUGGACCUCAGUUGGUGAUAACACUGGGAGGUUCAGAUGGAACCUUGCUGGAAAAAAGCAGGUCAGUGAUGCCAUAUUGUCACAGCUCUGUUUGACCCUGGUCCCUCCCUAGAUCUCUUUCUGUUUUGCAUCUAUGAUGAGAAUCUCCUCCACCACACACUGUUGCUGCCAGGCUGUGAUGUUCUGCUUGGGAGCACAAACCACAAUAGCCAUAGAGUGAAUCCACUGGACCCAGGAGCCAAAAUAAAUGUAUCCUCCUUUGGUCACCC